UUUUCCUUUUUUUCAACUCGAAUGGGCUCACCCGUGGCUGUUAGAUGAGAUGUGAACCAUGAAAUGUAGUUCAAUCUACCUAAGAGACCACGAACCUCUUUUUCUGUUUUCGGUUCAGGCAUUUCUCGUAUUGUUUUUGUUCUUCUUCUUUUUUUUUUUUUAGCAGGAUCAACCUCGAUUCCUCUCUUACAAUGAACCCCAGCAGCUUACCGGACCGCACUCUGAAAGUGCACUUAUUUGAAUUCAACCUCAGUUUGAAUUGUCUCAACUGGUCCAAUCAACUGGUCCACUCAGCUUGGCCAGAUCUACCAGAUGCCCCUCUUCUGUUUGGGACUUUGCUAUCAUGUCAUCAACAUAGCAUUCAAUUUCAUGAUGAAUCAUAUCAUGAAACAAAGUCACCAUGAUACGUGGC
This 412-nucleotide long non-coding RNA is filed under the name Lathyrus oleraceus (garden pea). Its description in RNAcentral is "Pisum sativum (pea) long non-coding RNA (PSAT_LNC022755)". Lineage: Eukaryota; Viridiplantae; Streptophyta; Magnoliopsida; Fabales; Fabaceae. The record is from RNAcentral.